AUACAGAGGGUGCGAGCGUUAAUCGGAAUUACUGGGCGUAAAGCGCGCGUAGGCGGCUUAUUAAGUCAGAUGUGAAAUCCCCGGGCUCAACCUGGGAACUGCAUUUAAAACUGGCGAACUAGAGUUGAGUAGAGGGGAGUGGAAUUUCAGGUGUAGCGGUGAAAUGCGUAGAGAUCUGAAGGAACACCAAUGGCGAAGGCAGCUUUCUGGACUAAUACUGACACUGAGGUACGAAAGCGAGGGUAGCAAACAGGAUUAGAAACCCCAGUAGUCC
Molecule: ribosomal RNA, 274 nt
Filed under: uncultured bacterium
Lineage: Bacteria
Description: partial 16S ribosomal RNA
Rfam family: Bacterial small subunit ribosomal RNA
Source: RNAcentral